This 594-nucleotide long non-coding RNA is filed under the name Ananas comosus (pineapple). RNAcentral describes it as "long non-coding RNA (ACOM_LNC028197)". The record is from RNAcentral. Lineage: Eukaryota; Viridiplantae; Streptophyta; Magnoliopsida; Poales; Bromeliaceae.
CCCCGAGUCUAGUUGAGGUAUGACUCUAAGUUUCGAGGACGAAACUUCUUUUAAGGAGGGGAGGAUGUAGUGUACCGAAUUUUUAAUAUAGAAAUAAGUGUAAAUAAAAAUAUAUAAAAUAGUGUUAUGAGAUGGGCUAAGGUGUAAUUGUGCAAAUGAGAGGGGCUAAGGUGUAAUUGUGCAAAUGAGAGGGGCUAAGGUGUAAUGGUGCAAGUAAAAGAGUUUACUUGGAGGGCAAGUCUCCCUAUGUUAUGAGAGGGACUAAAGUGUAAUUGUGCAAAUCAAGGGUUUACUUGGAGGGCAAGUUUCCUAUGAGUGUGAGUGAACCCUUGCCCCCUUUUUCCCAAACCGUAGGAAAGAGAGAGUGGGCUUUCUCUCUCUUUCUCUCUUUGUCCUUGUGGUCUCUCUUUCUCUCUCUCUUUCUCUUUAUUAAAAAGAGGAUUUGCUAAAGAGAGGAUUUGCUAAGAGAGGAUUAGAGAAUACUAAUUGGAGUUGCUUGGUGGUGAAGCAAGCUUAGUGGAGAAGAAGGCUUGGAAUUGAGCUACUUCCUUCAUCUUCUUCAUCACUUGGAUUAGAGAAGAAAGCUUGUUUAAG